This 443-nucleotide ribosomal RNA is filed under the name uncultured bacterium. Its description in RNAcentral is "partial 16S ribosomal RNA". It matches the Rfam family "Bacterial small subunit ribosomal RNA", at positions 338 to 795 of the family's 1533-position model. The record is from RNAcentral.
CCUACGGGAGGCAGCAGUGGGGACUAUUGCACAAUGGGGGGAACCCUGAUCCAGCGACGCCGCGUGAGUGAAGAAGUAUUUCGGUAUGUAAAGCUCUGUCAGCAGGGAAGAAAGUAAUGACGGUACCUGACUAAGAAGCCCCGGCUAACUACGUGCCAGCAGCCGCGGUAAUACGUAGGGGGCAAGCGUUAUGCGGAUUUACUGGGAGUAAAGGGAGCGUAGACGGCGAUGCAAGUCUGAAGUGAAAGGCGGGGGCCCAACCCCCGGACUGCUUUGGAAACUGUAUGGCUGGAGUGCAGGGGAGGUAAGUGGAAUUCCUAGUGUAGCGGUGAAAUGCGUAGAUAUUAGGAGGAACACCAGUGGCGAAGGCGGCUUACUGGACUGUAACUGACGUUGAGGCCCGAAAGCGUGGGGAGCAAACAGGAUUAGAUACCCGAGUAGUC